AGAACGAACGCUGGCGGCAUGCCUAACACAUGCAAGUCGAACGCUCUUGGGAUUUCGGUCUCAAGGGAGUGGCGCACGGGUGAGUAGCGCGUGGGAACCUGCCCUGUUGUGGGGGAUAACCGAGGGAAACUUCGGCUAAUACCGCAUAAGCCGGCUGUCUUGCGAAAGAUGGCCGGGAAAGAUUUAUCGGCUAGGGAUGGGCUCGCGGCCUAUCAGCUUGUUGGUGGGGUAACUGCCUACCAAGGCGACGACGGGUA
RNAcentral lists this ribosomal RNA (257 nucleotides) under uncultured bacterium. Its description in RNAcentral is "partial small subunit ribosomal RNA". It matches the Rfam family "Bacterial small subunit ribosomal RNA", at positions 26 to 285 of the family's 1533-position model. The record is from RNAcentral.